UCGAGAAUCUUUCGCAAUGGGCGAAAGCCUGACGAAGCGACGCUGCGUGAGCGAUGAAGGCCUUCGGGUUGUAAAGCUCUUUCGUGCAAGAACAAGGAAGGGACGUGAAUAACGUUCCGACUUGAGGGUACUGCGUAAAGAAGCACCGGCUAACUCCGUGCCAGCAGCCGCGGUAAUACGGAGGGUGCAAGCGUUAAUCGGAAUUACUGGGCGUAAAGCGUGCGUAGGCGGUACAGUCAGUCAGAUGUGAAAUCCCUGGGCUUAACCUAGGAACUGCAUUUGAUACUACUGAACUAGAGUAUGGUAGAGGGAGGUGGAAUUCCGGGUGUAGCGGUGAAAUGCGUAGAUAUCCGGAGGAACACCAGUGGCGAAGGCGGCCUCCUGGGCCAAUACUGACGCUGAGGUACGAAAGCGUGGGGAGCAAACAGG
RNAcentral lists this ribosomal RNA (429 nucleotides) under uncultured bacterium. Its description in RNAcentral is "bacterial SSU rRNA". It matches the Rfam family "Bacterial small subunit ribosomal RNA", at positions 355 to 776 of the family's 1533-position model. The record is from RNAcentral.